Molecule: ribosomal RNA, 253 nt
Filed under: uncultured bacterium
Lineage: Bacteria
Description: partial 16S ribosomal RNA
Rfam family: Bacterial small subunit ribosomal RNA
Source: RNAcentral
UACGUAGGGUGCAAGCGUUAUCCAGAUUUAUUGGGCGUAAAGGGCUCGUAGGCGGUUCGUCGCGUCCGGUGUGAAAGUCCAUCGCUUAACGGUGGAUCCGCGCCGGGUACGGGCGGGCUUGAGUGCGGUAGGGGAGACUGGAAUUCCCGGUGUAACGGUGGAAUGUGUAGAUAUCGGGAAGAACACCAAUGGCGAAGGCAGGUCUCUGGGCCGUUACUGACGCUGAGGAGCGAAAGCGUGGGGAGCGAACAGG